Molecule: long non-coding RNA, 558 nt
Filed under: Salvia miltiorrhiza (redroot sage)
Lineage: Eukaryota; Viridiplantae; Streptophyta; Magnoliopsida; Lamiales; Lamiaceae
Description: long non-coding RNA (SMIL_LNC011065)
Source: RNAcentral
CAGUGACGAAGGUAGAGGGGGGGCAGUGGGGGCACUGGGCCCCACUGGAAAUUUCAAAAAAAACUAGGGGUAUUUUAGUAAUUUCACAAUAAUAUUAAAUAAAUAAUUAAAUAAUAUUAUUUUAGUUUCAAUCCUAGUUUCUCCCUCGUUGAUUGCGGUUCUCCCAGAAAUUCGCUCUCUCUCCCCGCAAUCAGCAACUCCAACGCCGCCCCUACUCCAACGACGACGCUGCGACGACCCUCACCACUACGGCACCGCUGCUCCAUCAACACUGCAGGUUGCACAUCAUACUAAUUCAGAGUAAGAAUAUCCCCAAAUCACAAGCCCUAAUUCAAUUUUAUGAUUUUUCCCUUUAAUAAACAGGGUAUGCGUAUGAAUAAUAUAAUCAAUUAUCAACGAAGCUGGUUCGCCUUGCAAAGCUUUACCCGUCUGAAUUUUCUGAAGUAACUUUGUAUGAACUUGAAAGUCAACUUGAGAACUUUAUUUUUGUGUGCGCUUAGAUGAAAAGUUCUCAAAAUUAUUAGGGAUCGGAGGUCUGGCUCAAAAGAUGGUUUCUAC